This 1055-nucleotide long non-coding RNA is filed under the name Ananas comosus (pineapple). RNAcentral describes it as "long non-coding RNA (ACOM_LNC022629)". Lineage: Eukaryota; Viridiplantae; Streptophyta; Magnoliopsida; Poales; Bromeliaceae. The record is from RNAcentral.
UGAUGUAAGCUAUAAAUAUAGCAUAUGUGCUAUUGUUUCGGUGGUGGUGGUGGUAUGGAUUAGCCACACCCAUAUGGCAUGGCCAAUAUGGUCAUGAUUUUGGUUGCACCUAGUGCAUGGGUGCAAGAGGACGUGUGCGGCUUUCGUAGCCGUGGGUCAUUAGUAUACCUUGUGCACGGAUGCACAGGAUGAAAGAGAUGUCUUCUGGGAGUAUAGAAGACGAGAGAAGGGUAGGAGAGAUUCAGAGAGAGGGCUCGGGUUGUAGCUACUCUGUGCAGAAGAGGAGUCAGGUGUAAUCUUCUCUUAUUUAAUGAAUCUUAUUUUACCUGCAUAUUUUUCUCUUUUAUGAUUGUAUCAGCAUCUGCUGAGGAGACGGAUUUAUGGUAAAAAUCCGAUUCGACGCUUCCGUUGCGGAAUCCCAACAAUCGAUACCGGAUCCACAGCAGUCGGUAUCGGAGCGGGUUGCGGAUUCACGAGAUCCGGUACCGGGGCGAGUACCAGAUUCCCAACACUAAUUGUCCAAGUAUACAUAUUGUCAUUCACAUAGUACCAUUCUUAGUUUCAAAAUAGUGAUUCAAUUUAAGGCACAUCUUAUAUUUCUAAGCUUAUAAGUAAUUAAUUAAGGAAAAAAAAAAUAACAAUCCUUGUACUCUUAUUAAGCUUAGCUUUUAGAGUAUAAUAGUUAUUUCAUGAUGGUAUCAGAGCAGGAGAUUCUUAAGUUCGAGCCAUAUCAAGUUCCUAAUAUUAUUAAUUUUUUCCCAUUUAAUUCAAGUCCACGUCAUAGACCUUACAAAAAAAGCCUCAAGCCCAGAUAUGAGAAGAGUGUUAAAUGUAAAAAUAUAUAAACACCAUUCUCUAACAGCUUAAACUUUUAGAGUACAACGAUUAUUUCAUAUAGUAUCAGAGUAGGAGGUCCGGAGUUCGAGUCAUACCAGAUACUCCUAGCAUUAUUAAUUUUCUCUCAUUUAAUUCAAGUCACGUCAUGAGCCUUAUUAAAAAAGUUCCGAAACCAGACAUAAGGAGAAGUAUUGAAUAUAAAAAUAUAUAAACACUGU